This 253-nucleotide ribosomal RNA is filed under the name uncultured bacterium. RNAcentral describes it as "partial 16S ribosomal RNA". It matches the Rfam family "Bacterial small subunit ribosomal RNA", at positions 524 to 776 of the family's 1533-position model. The record is from RNAcentral.
UACGUAGGGCGCAAGCGUUAUCCGGAAUUAUUGGGCGUAAAGAGCUCGUAGGCGGUUUGUCGCGUCUGCCGUGAAAGUCCGGGGCUCAACUCCGGACUUGCAGUGGGUACGGGCAGACUAGAGUGUGGUAGGGGAGACUGGAAUUCCUGGUGUAGCGGUGAAAUGCGCAGAUAUCAGGAGGAACACCGAUGGCGAAGGCAGGUCUCUGGGCCACUACUGACGCUGAGAAGCGAAAGCAUGGGGAGCGAACAGG